CCUACGGGUGGCAGCAGUGGGGAAUAUUGCACAAUGGGGGAAACCCUGAUGCAGCGACGCCGCGUGAGUGAGGAAGUAUUUCGGUAUGUAAAGCUCUAUCAGCAGGGAAUAGAAAAGAAGGUACCUGAAAACGAAGCCCCGGCUAACUACGUGCCAGCAGCCGCGGUAAUACGUAGGGGGCAAGCGUUAUCCGGAUUUACUGGGUGUAAAUGGAGCGUAGACGGAAAGGCAAGUCAGAAGUGAAAACCCAAGGCUCAACCAUGGGACUGCUUUUGAAACUGUCAAACUAGAGUACGGGAGAGGUAAGAGGAAUUCCUAGUGUAGCGGUGAAAUGCGUAGAGAUUAGGAGGAACACCAGUGGCGAAGGCGUCUUACUGGACCGAAACUGACGUUGAGGCACGAAGGCCAGGGGAGCGAAAGGGAUUAGAUACCCUUGUAGUC
Molecule: ribosomal RNA, 441 nt
Filed under: uncultured bacterium
Lineage: Bacteria
Description: partial 16S ribosomal RNA
Rfam family: Bacterial small subunit ribosomal RNA
Source: RNAcentral